This 315-nucleotide ribosomal RNA is filed under the name uncultured soil bacterium. RNAcentral's name for it is "bacterial SSU rRNA". It matches the Rfam family "Bacterial small subunit ribosomal RNA", at positions 27 to 351 of the family's 1533-position model. The record is from RNAcentral.
GGAUUGAACGCUGGCGGCAUGCCUAACACAUGCAAGUCGAACGGGAGUAGCAAUACUCUAGUGGCGGACGGGUGAGGAAUACGUAGGAAUUUGCCCUUAAGUGGGGGAUAACCCGGGGAAACCCGGAUUAAUACCGCAUGACCUCGAAAGAGCAAAGUGGGGGAUCGCAAGACCUCACGCUUUUGGAGAAGCCUACGUCGGAUUAGCUAGUUGGUGAGGUAAUGGCUCACCAAGGCGACGAUCCGUAAACUGGUCUGAGAGGAUGAUCAGUCACACCGGAACUGAGACACGGUCCGGACUCCGUACGGGAGGCAG